Molecule: long non-coding RNA, 1092 nt
Filed under: Zea mays
Lineage: Eukaryota; Viridiplantae; Streptophyta; Magnoliopsida; Poales; Poaceae
Description: long non-coding RNA (ZMAY_LNC000206)
Source: RNAcentral
UUCAAGGCAAGUGAAGACUGAAGUUAAACGUCAUGUUAUUUUUUUCUCGAAAGCGCAGGAGGACUGCGCAUCUUUAUAUAUUAGAGAGAAGAAAAACACCCACAAAGGGAAAAAUACAGAACACAAAUAUACACCCAAACAGACACACACACACUUCUUAAGAACACAACAGGACAGGGAGACCUGCCACGCAGGACCCGACGUCUACAAAGCAGAAACACGGUCAGCCAAACCAAUGCUCCCCAGUUGCUUGGCUCCAGCUAAAACCCAGCAAGCGAGCUCAUCAAGGAAGGAUCUCAGCACCUUUGCAAUGGAAGGGGACUCCUCAUGGAAGAUCACUCGGUUCCUAUGAAGCCAAAGGCACCAUGCCCCAAGGAUGAUAGCACUGUUGAAGCCCUUCUUCUUGUCUUUGUGGAUCUGAUUGAUCACUCCUUCCGACCACUCCACAAAGGAGGCCUCCACAGGACUAGGAAUAAGGUGUCCUAGGUUUUUUUUUAUUAUUUUUUUAUAUAGAACGCGCAGGAGAACUGUGUCCUAGGUUAAAAGGGGCUAGAAUGCCAUGCCAGAACUGACGUGCAAAAACACAUGUAGUUAGGAGAUGUUGAAUUGUCUCCUGCUCUUGAUCACAAAGGGGACAAACAACCGGGUGGGGCAUACCACGCUUUCGUAAUCUGUCAGCUGUCCAACACCUAUUUCGUAUGGCCAGCCAUAGGAAGGUUUUGCAUUUGGGGGUGGGGGGGCAAUGUAACACCCUGAAUUUGGGGGUAUGAAAUUUCUUUUCUAAUAUCCACCAAAUUCAGGUGUUACUCUCUCGUUUCCUUAGUUUUCUUUUCUUUUUCCUAAAGGGUGAAGAAUUAUUUUGUUUUAUAUGUGUAAACCAAGUAAAAUAAAAUCUUAAAGGAGUUUUGAUUGUUGUAUCAUGCUGGAUCACAUGAGUAUUUUGUUUGAAGAGUGAUUGUUGUGCAUUCAUUGAGAAUUGUGAGUUGUGCUCAAGUUUGGAAAGAAGUGGAUAAAGAAAAGAAGAAGAAAUAAAAAAGGGAAAACCACACCAGCCCCCUCCUUUCGGCCUCAGCUGGCCCGGCCCGUUUUCCC